CAAUUUGUCGAUUUUGAAUCACUUCACGCUUAACAUUCAAUCAGUUCAACAUGUCAACGACUGGUGAAACUACGGCUGCUACAGCGCCAAGAAAAAAGCGAUACAAAUUUCAAACGAAUGCGCAAAAAGAAAAGGAUGCUGAUGAUGAUGUAAACGAUAAUGGAUUGUUCGCGAUUAAAAUGCGCCUCAACACAAUUUUACGACCAGAGUUCAAUCACAUUGUCAAACCGUGGAUCGAACAGAAAAGCAUAAUGUCAACGAAAAUCACCGUUUUGGCAUCAUUACUUUUCUUGGAUAAAGUGAAAUCGGCACAAAUGAAUCGACAGUGGGAGUUUUUUAAAAACCGAACGUAUCCGGCCAAAAAAGGAAAGAAGAAAGGACAGCUCGUUGAAAAGAAUCGUGGCGAAGAAGUGAUUGAGCAAUGUUUCUAUGCCGUCUUGCAAAAAAACAAAGAGGGUGAGAAUAUGGAGCCACAUUUCCGUCAGUUUGUCGAAGAGCUCAGUCCAGAAAAUAAUUUCGCCUGGCCCAAGAACGAUUAUUUUGGUAAUCAUUUUAAAACGCUUUGCCAAAAUCACACGCGAUGCUUGAAAACCGGUCAAAAGACACACUGCAAGAAGAAGUUGAAAAAUUAUCUGCGAAUGCGAGCGUGGCAAUUCAACGCAGUGUCUACCGGUUGGAAAUUCGACAAGAAGGACAUUGACAAUGCAGUCGAUUUGAUGAUUCGAGGCUACAAUGCGAUCCGUGACACUCAUCAAAAUGCAGAUUUCAAACGACACAAGCGAACAUUACUUACUGGCAUGGUUACUGCAAUUGUGCGAGAAGUUGGUGGCCCAACCAAUGAUCACAACAUCAAGGAUUUUUCAAAAGGCGAUUAUUGGUUCAAAGCAACUGCAAUGUGGCUCGUUAUGCAGACAGAAAUCGAUGAGUGGCACAAUUGGGCGCAAGAUAACAAUGUGAAGAUACCAAAUAUCAAAAAUCUCUCGGUUGUUCCAUUGCCUGAUUAUCAACGAAAGGCAGUGUUCAUGUGCAAUGAUGUCUUCUAUCGAAUGCUGGCCGAAUCGAAACAACUUCCACAAGUUGAUGGUAGACAAGCAACCGAAAGUUACAUUCGCCAGAACAAAGAAUUCUAUUGGAAUCAAGUAUUCGAUUUAACGACCAUCAAUCGAAAACUGAAGAAAAACAAAGAAUUCCAUUAUACCAUCGUCAGCAACGGUGAAUCUGUGUCGAUUAUGUAUCGCAUGUCAAAGCAAUACGAGCAACAGAUGCAGAAUGAUGAUAUUCUUCGAAAGCAAUUCAUGGGCGGAAAAUUUGCUUACGAACUGGGAAUCGAUCCAGGCAUGAAAACAUGGAAUGCCACAGUUCGUCGAAAUAUCGAAACAAAGAAAGAAGUCAACUUGAAAACGUCCAGUAAGAAGUACCAUUGGCUGGCAAAGCAGAAGACGCGCGAUGUAAAGGCAAAACGAUGGACGAAGCAGUUCACCCAAGAGGAGCAGGACGAUCGAAAUAAUCGACAAUUGUAUCAGCGAAUGCCAUCACCACUGGGCAUACUCUGGAUUGAUUACGUUCAUCAUCGUAUCAAAAUGCUCAAGAAAGGAAUGGCCGUGUAUACAACACCGAAAUACACGCUGUUGCAGUUUGACAAGUACGUCGAAUCGAAUCGAACCGUUGAUAAACUCACUGGGAAUUUGGUCAAUCAUAAAGCCGCAAUUAUUCACAUGGGAAAUGCAGAAAUAUCACCAAACUCGUGCAUUCGAAUCAAAAAGCAUGUGAGAGCUCCAGGUACGCGCAAACUACUCAAAGGCUUUCGAAAACGUCGCAAUUGUCGUGUGCGCAAAACAGAUGAGUGGGGUACAUCGCAGCAUUGUGCAAAGUGUGGGCGACGAUUUGAUCCAGCCACAAGGAGCCAUCGAUUCAAAGUGUGUGAAAAUUGUGGAGCGGAGCCCGAUUCAAUUUUCGCCGAAUAUUUACCAUCAAAAAUCGUAGCACAGCGCAGCAAACGGCAAUUGAGGUACAACAAAGAUGUCGUUGAACUUUAUUUGAUGCGAUUUUGGGCAGAAGGACUCAUGACUGAGCAAGAAUUCGAGUGAGUGGUAAAUUGGAAUAUGCUCAAGUCAAUGCUGAUGCACCGUAUGCAACUGUUCAACAGCCAUAUGCAGUCGAUGAUGAAAAUGAAUUGGAAAUCGAAGACAAGCAACUACUAAUGGCUGUACACAAGACAUCUUGGGAUCGUGAUAUCGUCGCCGCCAAAUGCAUUCUCAUCAAAGGACAUUGUGAGCUGUUUGGAUGGGAUAUUCCGGCAGGAUUAGACAGACGAUCACCGCGACAGCCAGCAGUUCAACCGAAUCAGCAGCCUUAAGCGUCACCAAUCACCAUUCGUACUCGAAAAUUAAUCAAAAAUUAAUAUUGUAAUUUGUUACAUUAACUGAGACUGACUGUUGUGUCUCAGCAUUUCGAGGAAGUACUUCUAGGUGUUUUUUUCUAUAUGGGAAACACCCUAAUGUACACUUCAGUGAAUAUCUUUAAUUAAUAUUGUUUUUUUUGCGUUUAUUUUUCAUUCAUUCUGAAUCAAAGCCAAU
This is an RNA transcript of Contarinia nasturtii (swede midge), 2576 nucleotides long. RefSeq lists it as uncharacterized. The record is from RefSeq and is a predicted model, not a curated record. NCBI's taxonomy places the organism in Eukaryota, Metazoa, Arthropoda, Insecta, Diptera, Cecidomyiidae. The transcript is spliced from 5 exons.